CAUGGAGGGUGAGAAUCCCGUCCGGUUGAUCAUUUGCGUUUUACGAUACGCUUUCUAAGAGUCAAGUUGUUUGGGAUUGCAGCUUAAAAUGGGAGGUAAAUUUCUCCUAAGGCUAAAUAACGGCGAGAGACCGAUAGCGAACAAGUACCGUGAGGGAAAGAUGAAAAGAACUUUGAAAAGAGAGUUAAACAGUACGUGAAAUUGUUGAAAGGGAAACGAUUGAAGCCAGUCGUACCUUCGGGUAAUCAGCCUUUUGGGUGUGAUUUUGUGGAGCGUGAAGAGUUAAACGCCUUCAUGCCUGCAUAUUCGUGCACUUUGGGUGUACUUGCCCGUAUGGUUGGUUAACAUCAAUUUUGGUGGUCAUAAAAUGACUGGAGGAAUGUAGCUUCGAUCUUGUAUUGAAGUGUUAUAGCCUUCGGUAGAUGUGAUGAUCGAGAUUGAGGAUUGCAACGGAUACCCUUCGGGGCUACCUGUCUGGUCUCUGAUCGUUGCUCUGGUGCCGAAAGCUUGCUUACGGUUAUCAAAGUCGAUGGUCAAUAGGUUAGAACGGGUUAAAUUCGUUAAGGAUGUUGACGUAAUGG
RNAcentral lists this ribosomal RNA (581 nucleotides) under uncultured Rhizophagus. Its description in RNAcentral is "LSU rRNA". It matches the Rfam family "Eukaryotic large subunit ribosomal RNA", at positions 204 to 637 of the family's 3401-position model. The record is from RNAcentral. Lineage: Eukaryota; Fungi; Glomeromycota; Glomeromycetes; Glomerales; Glomeraceae.